CGACAACCACUAUCGAAAUCGUGCCGUUUCACUGCCUCACCCUGUAUUUGUAAGCAUUUCUGCAAAUUUUGAAGAGUUGAAAAAAUUCCAGAUGGUAUUUCCGUUAUAUCAUUUCCUGAGAGGUUCCUGGAACAUAGAGAUUGGCAGCUAAGGUCACAAAAAUUAUUUUGUUCUUCACAUAAUUAAGAUACUAAUGAUGUAAGCAGUAGUUGCGUUUUUAAAAAAAAUACAUGUAGAUACAAAGACUUUCAUGCUAUUGGAAUAAUCCAACAGACAAUGACAUGUAAAAUAAUUUUGUUGUAUAUUAGGGUCAAUUCUUUGAAAGUCAACUUGCAAAUAAUGUCUGUUAACAGAUAAGCAUUAAAUUUACACACGCUGGACGGGAGAAAAGGUCUACCUGUAACAACAAGUAUUAAAAUAAAUGUCUGAUGUAAAGUAAUCAAUUCAUCAACUCGACUUGUAACAAAAUAAGUAGUCUAUAGUUAGAUCCCAAAUGCGGUGUAUUUUAAUUUUGCGGUAAGUUCAGGUUUUGUAUGUUAUACUGCAAAACAGACAACACACUAGUCUACAGAGAAUGACUAUUAAUUUUGUGACAAUAUUAUUUUUUGAAAAUGUCUGAGGAAAAAGAAUUCAUAAUAUUACUGCUUUACAUCUAGGUCGCCUACAAAAUACAGUACCAGUCACUGUUUGCCAGAACACCUGGUGUAUGACAGGUGAACCAGAAAUUUCAGUUCCAAACUUUUAUCUCCACAUGAGCUCUCUGAAUUUAAAAAUGAGCUACCAUUUUAUGAGUAAUGCCUCUCUCGUAGAUGCUCACACUGACUAUGAAACACCUCUGUAAUGUUCUCAUGCUGACCAAAUAAAAUAUUUACAACUGCAA
Schistocerca nitens (vagrant locust) is the source of this 880-nucleotide long non-coding RNA. RefSeq lists it as uncharacterized. Lineage: Eukaryota; Metazoa; Arthropoda; Insecta; Orthoptera; Acrididae. The record is from RefSeq and is a predicted model, not a curated record. The transcript has 2 exons.